This 776-nucleotide ribosomal RNA is filed under the name uncultured Neocallimastigales. Its description in RNAcentral is "partial large subunit ribosomal RNA". It matches the Rfam family "Eukaryotic large subunit ribosomal RNA", at positions 23 to 632 of the family's 3401-position model. Lineage: Eukaryota; Fungi; Neocallimastigomycota; Neocallimastigomycetes; Neocallimastigales. The record is from RNAcentral.
AGAGAUGUGUGAUGACGCAUAUCAAUAAGCGGAGGAAAAGAAACUAACUAGGAUUCCCUCAGUAACGGCGAGUGAAGCGGGAAGAGCUCAAACUUGAAAUCUUCAAGGUUCUACCUUGACGAAUUGUAGUUUAAAGAAGUGUUUUCUGUUGGAGUUUUGGUAAAAGUUCUUUGGAAUAGGACAUCAUAGAGGGUGAGAAUCCCGUAUUUGACCAUUACUUUCCAGCUGUGUGAUACACUUUCAAAGAGUCGGAUUGUUUGGGAAUGCAGUCCAAAAUGGGUGGUAAAUUUCAUCUAAAGCUAAAUACUGGCGAGAGACCGAUAGCGAACAAGUACCGUGAGGGAAAGAUGAAAAGAACUUUGAAAAGAGAGUUAAACAGUACGUGAAAUUGUCAAAAGGGAAGCGUUUGACACCAGUGUUGUUUUCUCGAAAAUCAAUUAAAAAUGGCAUGAUUUUGUGUUGUAUUGACCUUUAUCAAGCUUUCUUCACUUUUUUCAUUGUCUUUUUUAAUGCACUUUUCGUUUAACAAGUCAACAUCAGUUUCUUUUGUUGUAAAAGGUCAUUGGAAGGUGGCUUUCUUUUCGGAGAAAGUGUUUAUAGCCUUUGGCCUCUGCAAUCGGAGAGAUUGAGGUCUGCAGCGUAGAUCCUUCGGGGUUAGAUGCAUUUGUGCUAAGUUAUAGCCUUUCAUAGACAACUUGUUGACUAUGAUCAGUCAUGUAGCUUACUCGCUUAUGUCAUUUUACCUACGCUUAGGAUGUUGACAGCAGUAUAGACUU